RNAcentral lists this unclassified non-coding RNA (171 nucleotides) under uncultured Basidiomycota. Its description in RNAcentral is "sequence contains ITS2". The record is from RNAcentral. Lineage: Eukaryota; Fungi; Basidiomycota.
AAUCCUCUCGUCCCCGGACUCCCCGGGCGGCGAGGAGUUGGACCGUGCCGUCGUCGGCUCGUCCCGAAACGCAUUAGCCCGACCCCGAUCGGCCCGUCCGGUGUGAUAGACAUCUACGCCGUCGGGUCCGCUCGACCCGGGCUUCCAAAGAAAAACCCCCCAUUUUUAACG